AACGAACGCUGGCGGCAGGCCUAACACAUGCAAGUCGAGCGCCCCAGCGAUGGGGAGCGGCGGACGGGUGAGUAACGCGUGGGAACGUACCCUUUGCUACGGAAUAGCCUCGGGAAACUGGGAGUAAUACCGUAUGUGCCCUUGGGGGAAAGAUUUAUCGGCAAAGGAUCGGCCCGCGUUGGAUUAGGUAGUUGGUGGGGUAAUGGCCUACCAAGCCGACGAUCCAUAGCUGGGUUUGAGAGGAUGAUCAGCCACACUGGGACUGAGACACGGCCCAGACUCCUACGGGAGGCAGCAGUGGGGAAUCUUAGACAAUGGGCGAAAGCCUGAUCUAGCCAUGCCGCGUGGAACGAUGAAGGCCCUUUAGGGGUUGUAAAAGUCCCUUUCAGAUGGGAAGAUAAUGACGGUACCAUCAGAAGAAGCCCGGCCUAACUCCGUGCCAGCAGCCG
This 449-nucleotide ribosomal RNA is filed under the name uncultured bacterium. RNAcentral's name for it is "bacterial SSU rRNA". It matches the Rfam family "Bacterial small subunit ribosomal RNA", at positions 29 to 517 of the family's 1533-position model. The record is from RNAcentral.